UAAUUUGUCCUUUCGAUACCCCCGCCAUCCACCCGCCGGCAUUCACUCCGCCGCCACCCGCCGGCAUUCACUCCGCCCGCAGCACACCAUGGUCGAGGUCGCCGCCUCCUCCUCUCCCCAACGCAUUCCCAUCCAAUCUCCCCCUCUCCCCCUCCCAUCCUCUCUAGUCCCACAGCGAGGAAUAGCUAAGUCGGUGGGGCGGCUCGGCGGCCACCUGCAGCAGACGUAGCCAGCCACCAGCCGCGGCCCUCGCGGAUGCAGGCGUCCACGUUGUAGCGCCGGUCGCCCAUCUUGGGCCCCGCAUCACCGCCGGCGAGCGCGUCCGAGUGCCCCGGGUGUCUGCAUCUCCCGCUGACCCUCCUCCUCCGCCCUUUUCUCCAUCUCGAAUGGAUUGCAGUAGCUGCAGGGACAGCCUCCUCCGAUGGCAGAAGGGGAUGAGGGGAGGACAUCCUCGAGCUCGCCCAGCCCCAGCUCGACGGAGGCACCCUCCAUGACGCCGCCCCGCAAAAGAUUGAUCAGACAUAUUCUUGAGCACCUAUGCGAGAGAGAUUGAACAGGAGACGCUUUGCAUCUUGCCGUGAAGUGGCGACCACAGUGGCGCUCUUGUUGGCGCUGAAGUCGGACAGUGACCAACGUCACCGCAACGCCAUGUGCACUCCUUCUCGGUCCUCCCUGCCCUCGGACCAAGAGCUGAGAGGCAUUUGGUGCGUCGCCGCCCUGAUCUAGCUGAUGAACCAAGGUUGCUAGCUGCUGCUACUACUGCAUGUCUUCGUUUUGUUUGUUCUGUCAUAGUGAGACAGAGAGAGGAGAUGCGCGCCUCACUGGAAGGUGACAACCAUGUACAACACAACUCUUGCCAACGAACAGCGACACCUCCACGCUAUGUUCCCUGUUGCCCUACUCGGCCCUCCCCGCCGCUUGGAUAGAGAGGUUGAUGGCCCGCACCUCCAUCAGCAACUCCUAUGUUUGUUCACUGUUCGUGCCACCUGGAGCAAGGAGUGGGCUGGAGUAGGGUAUGGACGUGGAUGAUGAUCCAGAAGGGGUGGAGGAGAAUGAGCUAGACAAUCUCGAUGAGGAAUUCGUCCAUCCCCAUCUCGAGCUCGAGGGAGAUGUUGAUGAUUGCAUGCAAAAGGAUUUAUCAAACGGGGACAUUCUAUUGUGGAAGGGCCAGUAUGAACACCGGUUGCUAGAAUGCUGCCUCUACUACGAGCUACAAGGCCAGAGAUAGUACCAGCGGGGCCUGCGACCUC
Molecule: non-coding RNA, 1250 nt
Organism: Lolium perenne
Lineage: Eukaryota; Viridiplantae; Streptophyta; Magnoliopsida; Poales; Poaceae
Source: RefSeq, a predicted model, not a curated record